CGCCUACGGGGGGCAGCAGUGGGGAAUAUUGCACAAUGGGGGAAACCCUGAUGCAGCAACGCCGCGUGAGUGAAGAAGUAUUUCGGUAUGUAAAGCUCUAUCAGCAGGGAAGAAGAUGACGGUACCUGAGUAAGAAGCCCCGGCUAACUACGUGCCAGCAGCCGCGGUAAUACGUAGGGGGCAAGCGUUAUCCGGAUUUACUGGGUGUAAAGGGAGCGCAGACGGUGAGACAAGUCUGAAGUGAAAGCCCGGGGCUCAACCCC
This 263-nucleotide ribosomal RNA is filed under the name uncultured bacterium. Its description in RNAcentral is "partial 16S ribosomal RNA". It matches the Rfam family "Bacterial small subunit ribosomal RNA", at positions 336 to 616 of the family's 1533-position model. The record is from RNAcentral.